RNAcentral lists this ribosomal RNA (253 nucleotides) under uncultured bacterium. RNAcentral's name for it is "partial 16S ribosomal RNA". It matches the Rfam family "Bacterial small subunit ribosomal RNA", at positions 524 to 776 of the family's 1533-position model. The record is from RNAcentral.
UACGUAGGGGGCAAGCGUUGUCCGGAUUUAUUGGGCGUAAAGAGCGUGUAGGCGGCCUGGAAGGUCAGCUGUGAAAACUCGAGGCUCAACCUCGAGACGUCGGUUGAAACCACUUGGCUAGAGUCCGGAAGAGGAGUGUGGAAUUCCCGGUGUAGCGGUGAAAUGCGCAGAUAUCGGGAAGAACACCAGUGGCGAAGGCGACUUCCUGGCCUGUUCUUGACGCUGAGGCGCGAAAGCUAGGGGAGCAAACGGG